RNAcentral lists this transfer RNA (89 nucleotides) under Caudoviricetes sp. Its description in RNAcentral is "tRNA-Tyr". It matches the Rfam family "tRNA". From Rfam's summary of the family: Transfer RNA (tRNA) molecules are approximately 80 nucleotides in length. Their secondary structure includes four short double-helical elements and three loops (D, anti-codon, and T loops). Further hydrogen bonds mediate the characteristic L-shaped molecular structure. tRNAs have two regions of fundamental functional importance: the anti-codon, which is responsible for specific mRNA codon recognition, and the 3' end, to which the tRNAs corresponding amino acid is attached (by aminoacyl-tRNA synthetases). tRNAs cope with the degeneracy of the genetic code in two manners: having more than one tRNA (with a specific anti-codon) for a particular amino acid; and 'wobble' base-pairing, i.e. permitting non-standard base-pairing at the 3rd anti-codon position. The record is from RNAcentral. Lineage: Duplodnaviria; Heunggongvirae; Uroviricota; Caudoviricetes.
CGGCAGGUAGCACGUAAUUGGUAGCGUCGCGGGCUGUAACCCCGUUGCCCUUAGGGGUCUUGAAGGUUCGAGUCCUUCCCUGCCGACCA